Long non-coding RNA from Manis javanica (Malayan pangolin), 5729 nucleotides. RefSeq lists it as uncharacterized. NCBI's taxonomy places the organism in Eukaryota, Metazoa, Chordata, Mammalia, Pholidota, Manidae. The record is from RefSeq and is a predicted model, not a curated record.
AAGCUUGGUUCCGAUAGGCCCGCCGCGGUAGUAACAAUUUAGAAGCCCAAGCUUAGCAACAGCACGUGGUGGCCCGGCCCACGAGCUCGCUGAAUGGCGGCUGGCGUGCAUGUUAAGUAGGCACCACGAGCCGAUUGGUCCAGAGAGGUCUAUGUAAAAUAGGGACCACGGACCAAUGGCCGGGGGCGCGCGGCCAAUGAGGGCGCACCGGCCGGACGCGUUGCUGAGAGGAAGCGGAGCGUGGUGGGGCAACCGCGGUGGGGCUGCCCGCCGUCGUGCCACGCGCAAGGGCCCCGCUAGAGCACGGGGGUGUGCCUCAUGCGCCCGGCGGUCCGCUGGGUCUGCGCACUGUGCGUAGGAACCUGUUGCCUCCGGCCGGCUGCAACACUAGCUCCGCGGGAGCGCUUGACCUCGCGGUCUCGUCGGAGCCUGGCAUGGGGCUGCAAAGCUACACCCCUGCCCGCGGAACGGAGGGACCCCAAAAAGGCCGGGUCUGGAGGAGGGCGUUGACGGUCUGAGACUAAGAGCCAGGUCUCCUUGAGGAUCUCAACGGGCAAACAGGCCCAGGAAGGGAUUGGCCCAGUGGACCGCAGGGCCCAAGGAGGGGCCCAAGGCCUAAAGAGGGGGUCAAUGAUCUGCCGCCACAAAGAGGGGGUCAAUGAUCUGCCGCCACACUCGAUGAGGAAACUGAGAACCCUGAGGUUCAGGGACUUCCAGGGUCUAGCGGCAAUCCCAGCAGAAUGGAGAUCAGUGUCCCCACACACAUGACCCAGCGCUGGUGACACGGGAGCUUGGAGACCUAGCCACCUCCUGGGCCGAUAAGAGUUGCUGGAGGUAGGAGCCACGGCGUAGCAACACCCAGUGGGGAACUCCGAUACUAACAUCAGCCGUCCCUGAAGGGACACUGAAACGACACUCUGACGUUAACCCCGGCCCCUCCUGCUCCUGCUCCACAGUCACCUAGGGCCGGGUGCAGGAGCUGUGCAGGGGAAGGCAGGGUGCUCAGUUUGGGGGAGGAGCAGGUGCACUCUGGGCUCGGCGGUAGAGGCCUAACCCAGGCUCACCACCUGGGGGCCAGAAGUUCGCAAGGUCACUCCAUCCCUUCUGUGAGGCGUGGGUUGCUGGCCCCUGCCAGCCGGAGAGGAGAGGGGGUGGUCCCCACCUCGCCUGAAUCUACAUUUAGGCCUUUUCGGGGACUUCUCCCUCAGCCAUUUCGCGACAGAGCACUGCCGGAUCCCCCGAGGGAACACAAAACCCUUAGAAAACGUCUAGAAGAGGACUUCCUCGCCCCUCGCGCGCUUCCAGGGCCCUGUUCCCUUUCUCUGCACCCAGGAUGGCUCCACCACCACACACGAUGUGCGGCUCUCAGCACAGCAUGGAAGCACCCUGUCCGGGGGUGGGAAGGUCUGCGGGGCCCCCUCUCAUCCGGGGCCUCCUCACACUUUCAGGACGACCUAGCCCAAACCCAUCUGCUCCCUUACCUCGGCGCUGGCGUGGACUCCCUGCUGACACCCAAGUCCCUGCGCCAGCAUUCCGGCUGCAAGUGAGGGGCUGCCCUGCCCACCUGGGGGCCCACGGCCUCGCUCUGGGGGCGGCAGGUUUGGACAGGUAGCUCCCUGCAGGCCGGUUCUGGGUCUGAGGGGCCCAGGGACAGACAGCCCAGCCUACGGUCACCAGGUGCUGGGAGGCCAUGUCUAGCCCAGCAGUGCAACAGCCUCCCAGAAGCCUUGAGUCUCCUGCCCUGAGAUGCCCAGUGUACACAGGAUCAGGGCAGAGUCCUGAGGGGCUCUGUCACUGGUGCUUCCCCCACAGCCGCCCUGGAUUCCAGUCUGACCGCAGGACCUGUAAAACAGUUGAUGGUGCCUGCCUCUCGAGUUGGUUGUGGGGUGUGAUGAAGGUUGCACAAAAGCCUGGGCCGCAGUGGGCUGCACGUAGGACCACCCAGGAAGUGGUGGUGAUGAGGAAAUAUACAGAAAGUUCUCAAAUCCCUCCCCUCCUCAGGGUUUGGUAGGAAGCCAGGAAAGCUAAGAAAGUCAAAGAAACAACGUUUCUGUAAUGGCUUCCAGAAUAUAAAGGAAUCGCAAGGUGCUUGAGUGCUUGAGAUUGAAACAAUGUAGCAAUGUAUUCCCCUCACAGGAGGACUCAGUGAUAUGAAACAGUUUGUUAAUCAUAGUCAUGGAAGUCCAUUAGUUUAUAAUACAGUAUCUGGGUAACCUUUACAGAAGUAGAUUAAAAUAUAACUAGCAUCCUGAGUACACCUAUAGUGACCUAAUAGCUCCCACUGCAACAGUUUCUGGGUGCUGACUCCCCGCUUAGCUUUGUAGUAAAUGUAUAAAAGGCGUGGCCCUGCUGCACUCCGGCUCAGACCUUUGGAGUGCACUCUCCUCUGAGCUCGCGGGCGUAAAAUAAAGCUCCGCCUUCCAAAACCUCCGAGUGGCGUUUGGUUCUUCCGUCAGUGAUCCAGUCCAGGUUUUCCAGAAACCCAACCACGCUGGCCCAUUGUUCCCACGGGUUUGGGACACCAGCGGCCGGCGGGGCAGGGAUAGACCGGGCACCCGCCAGGGAGAAGGCGCGCCCCGCCUGAUCUCCCAGCCGUCUCCCGCCUGGCCGCCUCGGCCCGGCUCUGCUCCGCUGCUCCCGCCGGACUCGAGGAGGUCUGGCAGGUGAGGACCUGGUUCUGACCUCGGAUCACGGAAUCUGCAUUCUGAAGGAAGAAGGCUCCAAGUCCAGUACAAUGCCCCUUGGGGUGGCAGGUUGGUUGUGGGAGCGGGCAUAACCAGGCUGUCAAGGAGAGCGUGGCCCAGCAGCCACCCACAUGGUGCGGAACGGCUCAAGUCCACGGAGCCAGUGAGAACAAGGAGAAGGGGCCAGGGAAUAAUAGAGCAAUAACCCACCCCCACUGGGGCUCCAUUUCGGUCUCUUCCUGCUCAAGGAACAGCUAACAGAAACACCAGUAUCUCCUGAAAACGCAGCCCGACACCUAGACUUCAGCCUGGAGACCCUAAGCAGAGAACCCAGCCAUGCCAUGCUGGACGUCUGACUUGUGGAAGCUGUGAGACAGUAAAUAAGCGCUGUUUGAAGUCACUAAGUGUGGGGUAAAUUGUUAUGCAGCAAUAGCUGACUCAGGCGACUGGGAGGAUAUUGUAACCGAGUGACCAGGCAGAGGCCAGGAUCCCGAGUCUCAGGUGAAAGCAAAACAAAGCUGCCUUGGAGCAGAGCAGACUGACAUGGCGGUGAUGCCACACUGAAGGUCCCCCCUCGGGAGGCUCAUGGUGUCCUGGCAUACAGGCCCUUUCCCGAGGGCUCAUGGGCAUCUGUGUAGGAUGCCACACAGCCCAGUCCUGCAGAGCAGCAGAAGGAAGUGUGGCCACCACUUGGCACCUGUGGCUGAUGCUUUGUCAGUGUGAGGCCCCAGGAAGAGCCUGUCCAGGUGGAUGGGGCAGUGGGGUGCCCAGCCUUCCAGUCCCAGCUCUACUGCUGACCAGCUUUGAGAACUUGUGCAAACUGCUCUCCAUCCUGGGACCUCUACAGUUUCUUCUAUAAAAUGGGAAUGAUGAUAUCCACCUUGGGAGGACUGGAGAGAAUGUAUUAGAGCAGGACUCUGAAAAAGUUCCGGGCCUCUGAUAAAGUUCUGUGGGCAGCAGUACUGUUGCACUGGCCCUACAGGCUGCAGAGUCAGAGGAACAGCAGUGAGGUGACCGCCAAAAUAAUAAAACAGUGUUUGAACAAGGCGCUGUGGCGCACACAGACCGGUGCUGUGAGGCCCGAGACGGCCUGCCCUCUGCCCCACCCCACUGUUCACCCUGCCUGCUCCCCUUCCGCGAGGUUCAGGGGCCCUCCAAGAGUGUCCAGGGAGUCACUGAAGGAAGCGAAGACAUUUUGGUUCCAGGUACUAAAAGUAAACAAGACGCUGACCAUCAGCUGUUUCCCAUUUUCUCUAAUUAGGCAGCAUUUCUGCUGACGCUGGGAGAUGAGCCCAGUUAGGAACAAGCAUCCUUUGUCUUCAACACUCUGCCCUGCCCACUUCUGUGCAGCCUGCAGACCUCUGCCCCACCCAGCCCGCCAGGUCUGCCGCUGGGGGAAGGCAGGAACCACUUCCGAGUCAUCAGAAUCUGGACGCCUGUGCUGUACCAACAGUCACUUCCUUGAGGGCUUCCUAGGGGAGGCAGCACAGCCUGAUGAGAUGUGGUCCCACCUGUCAUGAGUCCAUAAAGACCCUGGCUUUUGACACAUGGGGCCCACAGUGCCUAGGACACCCCAGCCCUGAGCAGUCCGCCCAGGGCCCGCUGCCUGCAGACUUCUGAUCCAGUUCUGCUGCCAUGGCCUCAGGAGCCAGGCCCUGGCUGCUCCCUGCGCCCCAUCCUCAUGCAGCUGCUCGUCAACUCCACACACAUUCUCCCAUGCCCUCCCUGUCCCUGGGUGGGCACUUGGGGCAGGUCUAGCCUCAGGGCCCACUUCUUCCCGAGAACACCCAUCACAGUAUCUGAGAAGUGCUUGCCUGCCUCCUGCUCCAGCUGCGGUCCCUGGGCAAGGGGCCUCCACUUUCUGGCCCCUGCCAGAGUCACCAGAAGGGUCUGGCUCAGAUGAAGUCAGGUGAGCACCUAGGGGAUGGGCACACGAGGCCCUGAUGGGGACCAGCAGUGCCCACCCUCGGCUCCCAGGCUGCUGGUGGGGAGAACUGAGGGGACCCUUACAUGCCUGCUGCUCUAGGGGGAGGCCCUGCCGUGGGGAGGGGGUCCCAGGGCUGGGUGCCCAGGGAAGUCAUUGUAGGCCAAAGGCCUGUGGGCAUCACCACCCCUGCUCUCCGGGCAGGAAACUGCAACCUCCCAAAGCCUCAGGUUACUUGUCUGUAAAGUGGAGAAACGUCACCACCCACACAGGAUCCCCGGGGGAGGAACGCACCUAGGCACACACAGCAGAGGCAGGGUGUGCAGCUCUGUAUAUGUGGCCCUGAGCACAGCCUCCCCAAAGCCUAGGGAGGCUGACUGCUGAUGGGUGUCGGGGGAGUGGCUGAGAGGCUGAGGCCACCAGGCCAGUCCUCAGGGCCACAGGCUCCCGCCAAUGCCGCUGUCAGAGGUCAGCCCUCCGGAGGGCUGUGCUCACAGGAGGAAGGUCACCAGGGCCAGUCCCACUGGAGUCCAAAGAGAGCCUCACAGCUCCCAGGUCCAUCCUCCUGGAGUAACCCCAAACCUGCCAGUCCUCCAGGAAUUGGGUGCAUGUCCUCCAGGGCCUGAAGCAAUGGCGCCAGGUGAUCAGUGGACUAUUGGCCCAACAGGCAGCCUCCCAUGCUGCCGUGGUGACCACAGCCUCUACGGAGGGUCCUGGGUGUCCACCAGGCCCUGGAACGCCUGCCCUUGAUCCUCUAUGAGGCCACAGGGAGGUGUCCCCAAAGCUGGACACCAGGGCAGGUGCAGCAGAGCCAGUGUACUCCAAGUCACUGCUGGUGCCCACAGCGACCCACAGGCCUUGGUGUCCCUGAGGCCCGGCUGCCCUGGCCCUGCAUGCUGCCCCGGCCGCUCUGCCUCCCGAGGGGCAGGCACAGACCCCUCCACCCUCCUCUCAGCCACGGAGCCACAGGGAGUAGUGGGACCGUGGUCUGCCUCCACUGGGGACACGGGCACACAGUCUGGCUCUGGAGAAGUCCCAUAGAUGGUGAUGGGAACCUUUACAUUAUUACUUCUUUUUUUUAAAUUAAAGUAUCAUUGAAAAACAAUCUUAUAAAGGUUUCA